This 107-nucleotide small nuclear RNA is filed under the name Dasypus novemcinctus (nine-banded armadillo). The record is from RNAcentral. Lineage: Eukaryota; Metazoa; Chordata; Mammalia; Cingulata; Dasypodidae.
GUGCUUGCUUUGGCAGCACAUGCACUAAAAUUGUAACAAUACAGAGAAGAUUAGCAUAGCCCCUGUGCAAGGAUGACAUGCAAAUUUGUGAAGUGUUCCAUAUCUUU